This 492-nucleotide ribosomal RNA is filed under the name uncultured bacterium. Its description in RNAcentral is "partial 16S ribosomal RNA". It matches the Rfam family "Bacterial small subunit ribosomal RNA", at positions 30 to 507 of the family's 1533-position model. The record is from RNAcentral.
AUUGAACGCUGGCGGCAUGCUUUACACAUGCAAGUCGAACGGUAACAGGCCUUCGGGUGCUGACGAGUGGCGAACGGGUGAGUAAUGCAUCGGAACGUACCCAGAGGUGGGGGAUAACGCAGCGAAAGCUGUGCUAAUACCGCAUGUGAUCUGAGGAUGAAAGCGGGGGACCGAGCAGCAAUGUUUGGCCUCGCGCCUUUGGAGCGGCCGAUGUCGGAUUAGCUAGUUGGUGGGGUAAAGGCCUACCAAGGCGACGAUCCGUAGCUGGUCUGAGAGGACGACCAGCCACACUGGGACUGAGACACGGCCCAGACUCCUACGGGAGGCAGCAGUGGGGAAUUUUGGACAAUGGGCGCAAGCCUGAUCCAGCAAUGCCGCGUGCGUGAAGAAGGCCUUCGGGUUGUAAACCGCUUUUGGCAGGAACGAAACGGUGUCCGCUAAUACCGGGCGCUAAUGACGGUACCUGCAGAAUAAGCACCGGCUAACUACGUG